UACGAAGGGGGCUAGCGUUGUUCGGAAUUACUGGGCGUAAAGCGCACGUAGGCGGAUUUGUAAGUCAGGGGUGAAAUCCCGGGGCUCAACCUCGGAACUGCCUUUGAUACUGCAAGUCUUGAGUCCGGAAGAGGAGAAUGGAAUUCCUGGUGUAGCGGUGAAAUGCGCAGAUAUCAGGAAGAACACCCGUGGCGAAGGCGGUUCUCUGGGCCUUACCUGACGCUGAGGAGCGAAAGCGUGGGGAGCAAACAGG
RNAcentral lists this ribosomal RNA (253 nucleotides) under uncultured bacterium. RNAcentral's name for it is "partial 16S ribosomal RNA". It matches the Rfam family "Bacterial small subunit ribosomal RNA", at positions 524 to 776 of the family's 1533-position model. The record is from RNAcentral.